RNAcentral lists this ribosomal RNA (250 nucleotides) under uncultured prokaryote. Its description in RNAcentral is "partial 16S ribosomal RNA". It matches the Rfam family "Bacterial small subunit ribosomal RNA", at positions 524 to 773 of the family's 1533-position model. The record is from RNAcentral.
UACGUAGGUGGCGAGCGUUGUCCGGAAUGACUGGGCGUAAAGGGAGCGUAGGUGGUGGUUUAAGUUAAAUGUGAAAGACCGGGGCUCAACUCCGGAACUGCAUUUAAUAAUGGAUCACUAGAGUACAGGAGGGGUAAGCGGUAUUCCUAGUGUAGCGGUUAAAUGCGUAGAUAUUAGGAGGAACACCAGAGGCGAAGGCGGCUUACUGGACUGCAACUGACACUGAGGCUCGAAAGCGUGGGGAUCAAAC